UACGAAGGGGGCUAGCGUUGCUCGGAAUUACUGGGCGUAAAGGGAGCGUAGGCGGGUUAUCAAGUUGGAGGUGAAAGCCCAGGGCUCAACCUUGGAAUUGCCUUCAAAACUGAUAGCCUAGAGUAUGGAAGAGGUAAGUGGAACUCCGAGUGUAGAGGUGAAAUUCGUAGAUAUUCGGAAGAACACCAGUGGCGAAGGCGACUUACUGGACACAUAUUGACGCUGAGGUGCGAAAGCGUGGGGAGCAAACAGG
This 253-nucleotide ribosomal RNA is filed under the name uncultured bacterium. RNAcentral's name for it is "partial 16S ribosomal RNA". It matches the Rfam family "Bacterial small subunit ribosomal RNA", at positions 524 to 776 of the family's 1533-position model. The record is from RNAcentral.